This 349-nucleotide unclassified non-coding RNA is filed under the name soil metagenome. Its description in RNAcentral is "partial contains 5.8S ribosomal RNA, internal transcribed spacer 2, and large subunit ribosomal RNA". The stretch from base 1 to 120 matches the Rfam family "5.8S ribosomal RNA", at positions 35 to 154 of the family's 154-position model. The record is from RNAcentral.
GAUGAAGAACGUAGCGAAACGCGAUAGUUAAUGUGAAUUGCAGAAUUCAGUGAAUCAUCGAGUCUUUGAACGCACAUUGCGCCCAUUGGUAUUCCUUUGGGCAUGUCUGUUUGAGCGUCAUUACAACCCUCAGCUAACCGCUGGUUUUGAACCUGAACGGGUGACACCGCACCGGUUUUAAAGUUGUAAGCUAUGCUGGCCUCUCUGCCCAACCAGAACAUAGUAAGCACUACUUGUCCAGGUGAAGCUGAACGGUACGGCCUGAACAAAACCUUUACCCACCCUCAAGGUUUGACCUCAGAUCAGACAAGGAUACCCGCUGAACUUAAGCAUAUCAAUAAGCGGAGGA